Molecule: ribosomal RNA, 505 nt
Filed under: Mogannia nasalis
Lineage: Eukaryota; Metazoa; Arthropoda; Insecta; Hemiptera; Cicadidae
Description: partial 16S ribosomal RNA
Source: RNAcentral
GUCUUUUAGAUUAUAUUAAAAGUCUAAUCUGCCCAAUGAUUUUUUAAUGGCCGCGGUAAACUGACCGUGCGAAGGUAGCAUUAUAAUUAGUCUUUUAAUUGAAGGCUUGAAUGAAUGAUUGGAUGAAAAGAUUUCUUUAUUAAUAUAAAAAUUUAAAUUUAACAUUUAAGUAAAAAGGCUUAAAUACUUUAGUGGGACGAGAAGACCCUAUAGAAUUUAAAAUUUAAAGUUAUUAAAUACAUUUAGAUCAAUAUUGAAUUUUAUAAUUAUAAAUUUUUUGUUGGGGUGACAUUAAAAUACUAAUAACUUUUAAUUAAAUUUUCAUAAAUUAAUGAUAAAUAGAUCCAAAUUUUUUGAUUUCAAGAUUAAAUUACCUUAGGGAUAACAGCGUUAUUAUUUUAAAAAGUUCUUAUUGAUAAAACUAGAUUGCGACCUCGAUGUUGGAUUAAGAAAAGAGCUUGGUGCAAGUUUUAAGUAUCUGGGUCUGUUCGACCUUUAAAUUCUU